GAAUUUUGAACAUUAACCAAUAUAAAAAUAAUUCAACAUGGCGACUGUCUUGACAGUGGUACAAUUUGCGGUAUAUCUUAUAUGUUCCAAUGCCUUAUUGGAACAAGGACUUCCGACCACACCAACACUCCCUGAUACUGAAGCAGCAUAUAUACAUCAGAUUCUAAACCAGGAAUCAAUUCUUAGAAUGAAGCUGGAAAUUCAUAUGACAAGUCUACAAUCAACCGUCUACACAAUGCAGCAAGAUUUAAAUUACUUAAAAUAAAAGCGGAAAACCUGGUAUUGAAGAAUACUUCCCCACCAGGUAAAAGAUUUAAUGUAAAAAGAUAAUACAAAAUAUUUUUUUAAAAGCAGGGACUCCUCUGUUAUCUGCACUGAACUUCCCUGUUUUUUUUUGUAUUUUAUGAGAUAAAAUAUGAAGAAUAUAACACAGAAAAUUUAUUGUUUUAGUAUUGAAUGUGCAUUUAUCAGUUGACAAGUUGACGUGCUGAUAAUAGAAAACAGACAUAUAACUAUGCCACACUCUGUAUGUAUGUGUCUGUCCCGAGCUUAAGUCUGGAGCCUGUAAUUCAGUGGUUGUCGUUUGUUGCUGUGUUACAUAUAUGGCUUUCGUUCAUUAUUUUGUACAUAAAUUAUGCCUGUUGUUUUCUUGUUUUCUUGUUUGACAUUUGUCAUUUCGGGGCCUUUUAUUGCUUGAAAUUGCGGUAUUGGCCUUGCUCUUUUUUUCACUGUACCUGCACUCCCAGUUUUUGGCGGGGUUCGUGUUGCUUAGUCUUCAGGUUUCUAUGUUGUGUCUUGUGCUUGUGUACUAUUAGUUGUCUGCUUGUUUUCUCUUUUUUAGCCAAGGCGUUGUCAAUUUGUUUUCGAUCUAUGAGUUGGUCUUUUAAGUAAGGACUUUUUCAUUCACAAAUAAAAUUCGACAAUAAGUUUUAACAUUUUAUUUAGGAGCAGUGAUGUUUUCUGCCUAUUUGUCCAAGAGUGUAACUAACCCAAAUGCUGAACAGGUAAUCAUCUUCGAUAAAACGUGGGUAAAUACACACAACGUAUAUAAUU
This 1053-nucleotide long non-coding RNA is filed under the name Mytilus galloprovincialis (Mediterranean mussel). Lineage: Eukaryota; Metazoa; Mollusca; Bivalvia; Mytilida; Mytilidae. The record is from RNAcentral.